RNAcentral lists this ribosomal RNA (498 nucleotides) under uncultured bacterium. Its description in RNAcentral is "partial 16S ribosomal RNA". It matches the Rfam family "Bacterial small subunit ribosomal RNA", at positions 28 to 507 of the family's 1533-position model. The record is from RNAcentral.
GACGAACGCUGGCGGCGUGCCUAAUACAUGCAAGUCGAACGAGAGCGACCGGUGCUUGCACUGGUCAAUCUAGUGGCGAACGGGUGAGUAACACGUGGGUAACCUGCCCAUCAGAGGGGGAUAACAUCCGGAAACGGAUGCUAAAACCGCAUAGGUUUUCGAACCGCAUGGUUUGAAGAGGAAAAGAGGCGCAAGCUUCUGCUGAUGGAUGGACCCGCGGUGCAUUAGCUAGUUGGUGAGGUAACGGCUCACCAAGGCCGUGAUGCAUAGCCGACCUGAGAGGGUGAUCGGCCACAUUGGAACUGAGACACGGCCCAAACUCCUACGGGAGGCAGCAGUAGGGAAUCUUCCGCAAUGGACGCAAGUCUGACGGAGCAACGCCGCGUGAGUGAAGAAGGUUUUCGGAUCGUAAAACUCUGUUGUUAGAGAAGAACAAGUGCUAGAGUAACUGUUAGCGCCUUGACGGUAUCUAACCAGAAAGCCACGGCUAACUACGUG